Molecule: RNA transcript, 1978 nt
Organism: Salvia hispanica
Lineage: Eukaryota; Viridiplantae; Streptophyta; Magnoliopsida; Lamiales; Lamiaceae
Gene name: SWI/SNF complex subunit SWI3C-like
Source: RefSeq, a predicted model, not a curated record
GGUGAUGAUUCUAACUUCUCUAUAUAAGUGUGGAUAACCCUCCCCCUUAUGAUGCCUUUUAAGGGGUGAGUGGCCCAUUUCUAAUAGAACUUGCAGGGCAGCAGGGAUGAGGACGAUCUUCUCCUUGACAACAUGCCUGAUGAUGAUGACUACAACACCGAUGAUUCUUUCAAUCAUGAUAUUGAGUUGAGGAAUCUCCAAGUAUUACAAACUUGAGAAUGCCUUUGGAGAGUUGGAGAAGAUAGUUGCACGAUAUCCUCGGGAUCCCGUUAAUCAAUCUCACUCGCGCAAAAAGAGAUUGCCUUCAGAAAUAAAACUGGAGCUUGCUAAAGUGGCUAGAAUAGUGAGCUCCUGCUAUAGACGGAUUCGAGGAUAUGUUCAGCCGCCUAAUGAGCAUUUUGGGCCACUUGAUGAAGAUUACAACACUGAAUAAGUUUGUCGAGGUGGAACGCUAUGUCUUGGCUGAGACAAUCCAAAUUGUUAAAGACCUGUAUUCCAAAUGAACUCCACUUCUGAGAUGCACGAUGUAGAUGUAGAUAUUUGUUGUGGAACUAUCUUCUUUAGUACCAACAACUGAAGCACUUUUCCUGAACCUUAAAUUUAUAUGGUCAUCUAAAGUUAUGUUUUCCUAUCAAGAUAGACUAGUUCACAAUGUUUAUAUUUGCGGACUGAAGACAUUAUUUAAGCAAUUUCAAAAGAUCAGCCUGGUGGAGUGAAUUGAUUGUGGAAGACAUGAAUCCGACGGGCCAAAUGAGGUCGGUUGAGGUCAGCGGCAGCCGGGUGAGGUUUAUGGUGGAGAUGAAUCCCCGGGAGACCACGAUUGUUUCUUGGAAAAAGCUUCUCAAAGAGGCCAAUUUGAGUGGCGUUACUUGCUUCUGCAUUGGGGCCAAGAGUGGCUGCAGCCUGUUCCCAUGCAUCUUUGGGUUCAUUGUCUAAGGAGAGUAGCAAAGAAGGGAGUCCCGGAAGUAUGUGUAGCUAAUCUUUUGUUGGCUUUUAAUUACUCAUAUUAAUACAGCAGCCAUGAAGGCAAAGCUUUUUGCUGAUCACGAAGAGCGUAAAAUCCAGCGGUUAUCUGCUAAUAUUAUUAACCAUCAGGUACUAUCCUUGCAAUGAUUAUGUAGAAUCUUAUGGUUAGUUUUGCUGAAAGCUUUGGUUAUGCACUCAUGCUAGGUUGAAAGCUUUAGAUGCUCUACUCAGCUCAUAUUGAUUGCAAUGCCAUCUUCCAUUGCUUAAGAAAUUAAAACUACUUCUUUCGUCUUGCUUCGGCUCAACUUCUAUUCCUGCCGCAAUAUUCCUUAUAUUUAGGCCAAUUUGUUUUCUUCAUUCCAAAAUUGGCACUUCUAUCAUGGGUGUUGGUCUCAUGAUGCAAUGUAUGUUGACAUGUGGUACUGCAACGAUUUAUCUUUCAUUUAAAGAGAUUGGAGCUAAAGCUGAAGCAGUUUGCAGAAAUUGAAACAUUCCUAAUGAGAGAAUGUGAGCAGAUGGAAAGGACCAGGCAGAGGAUUUCUGCUGAACGGGCCCUCGUGAUGUCGGGGCAGUUUAGUUCUGCUGGGGUGCAACGGCCAAUGGGGCUGCCAGGUGUCAGUAAUUGUAAUUCUGUUAUGAACAAUUAUGCAGGAAAUAGACAGCAUGUUCAAGGCUCCCAACAACCUUUCGUUUCUGUAUACGGAAAUAACCAACCCAUACAUCCCCACAUGUCCCUGAUGCAACAGCAACAGCAACAGCAACAGCAACAACAAAAGGGGGGUAUCCUGUAUCCCCUGGUGCAGCUUGGAUGUGCAAACCUGACUUUCUCUACGGAGAAUGGAUCAACUGCUUGGAUAUGAAAAGAUUUGAGAUUUGAACUACUAAUUGAUUGUGACCAUAUUACUAAUUAGAUGAGGAAAGGCAAGUGGUAUAUUAGGAUUGUACUACUAUUCAGCUGUACAGAUUAUGAAAAUUGCAUGAAUCAAUGAAAUUGCAUUUGAUGGGUUUUAAA